This 324-nucleotide ribosomal RNA is filed under the name Thiothrix eikelboomii. Its description in RNAcentral is "bacterial SSU rRNA". It matches the Rfam family "Bacterial small subunit ribosomal RNA", at positions 577 to 899 of the family's 1533-position model. The record is from RNAcentral. Lineage: Bacteria; Pseudomonadati; Pseudomonadota; Gammaproteobacteria; Thiotrichales; Thiotrichaceae.
GGNUCUUUAAGUCGGAUGUGAAAUCCCCGGGCUCAACCUGGGAACUGCAUCCGAUACUGGGGAGCUAGAAUUUGGGAGAGGGAAGUGGAAUUUCCGGUGUAGCGGUGAAAUGCAUAGAGAUCGGAAGGAACAUCAGUGGCGAAGGCGACUUCCUGGACCAAAAUUGACGCUGAGGCACGAAAGCGUGGGUAGCAAACAGGAUUAGAUACCCUGGUAGUCCACGCCGUAAACGAUGUCAACUAGCCGUCGGCUCCAACUAAGGGGUCGGUGGUGCAGCUAACGCAUUAAGUUGACCGCCUGGGGAGUACGCGCGCAAGCGUAAAA